UACGGAGGGUGCAAGCGUUAUCCGGAUUCACUGGGUUUAAAGGGUGCGUAGGAGGGCAGGUAAGUCAGUGGUGAAAUCUUUGGGCUUAACCCGAAAACUGCCAUUGAUACUAUCUGUCUUGAAUCCCGUGGAGGUGAGCGGAAUAUGUCAUGUAGCGGUGAAAUGCUUAGAUAUGACAUAGAACACCAAUUGCGAAGGCAGCUCGCUGGGACGUCACUGACGCUGAGACGCGAAAGCGUGGGGAGCAAACAGG
This 253-nucleotide ribosomal RNA is filed under the name uncultured bacterium. RNAcentral describes it as "partial 16S ribosomal RNA". It matches the Rfam family "Bacterial small subunit ribosomal RNA", at positions 524 to 776 of the family's 1533-position model. The record is from RNAcentral.